This 468-nucleotide ribosomal RNA is filed under the name uncultured bacterium. RNAcentral describes it as "partial 16S ribosomal RNA". It matches the Rfam family "Bacterial small subunit ribosomal RNA", at positions 28 to 505 of the family's 1533-position model. The record is from RNAcentral.
GACGAACGCUGGCGGUGUGCUUAACACAUGCAAGUCGAACGGUGAACGAGGGAGCUUGCUCCCUCCGGAUCAGUGGCGAACGGGUGAGUAACACGUGAGCAAUCUGCCCCGAACUCUGGGAUAAGCGUUGGAAACGACGUCUAAUACCGGAUACGACGCGGGAGGGCAUCCUCUCCGCGUGGAAAGAACUUCGGUUCGGGAUGAGCUCGCGGCCUAUCAGCUUGUUGGUGAGGUAACGGCUCACCAAGGCGACGACGGGUAGCCGGCCUGAGAGGGUGACCGGCCACCAGGGGAACGGGAAACCGCCCAGAAUCCUACGGGAGGAAGGAGGGGGGAAAAUUGCCAAAGGGGGGGAAGGCUGAAGGAGCAACGGCGGGGGGGGGAAGACGGCCUUCGGGGUGUAAACCUCUUUUAGCAGGGAAGAAGCGAAAGGGACGGGACCUGCAAAAAAAGCCCCGGCUAACUACG